This is a non-coding RNA of Cajanus cajan (pigeon pea), 356 nucleotides long. The record is from RefSeq and is a predicted model, not a curated record. NCBI's taxonomy places the organism in Eukaryota, Viridiplantae, Streptophyta, Magnoliopsida, Fabales, Fabaceae.
AACCCAACUAACUAUGGUUCUCCUUUCUUCUUCUUCGAUUGAUUCGUUGAAAUAUUUGGGCUAGCUUCGUUGCUUUCUCCGCCACCUCUCCUCCGAUCAAUCUCCGGCGAACCACCGAUCAUUCUCCGGUAGGGCAGAGAAAUUAGGAACAAUGAGUGAGGUAUUUGAAGGGUACGAGCGUCAAUACUGUGAGCUAUCAGCGAAUCUUUCGCGGCAUUGCACUGCGGCUUCUGCUCUUGAUGGAGUUUCAGCGGAUGCAACUAUGGGGAAAUGAGUGUUGAAGAACCCAUGUGAUAAUUUUUUGGCUUAAAUAUGUUUUUAAUCCUUCAAGUAUGAGGUAAAUUUAUUUUUGGUCU